GGUUGUGGUGGUUUUCUUUCUUGCACAUUUGUUAAGUUUUCAAAUGGGCCCAACUCUGCCACAUAUGAAGGCUCUUCAAAACGU
Molecule: small nucleolar RNA, 84 nt
Organism: Cynocephalus volans (Philippine flying lemur)
Lineage: Eukaryota; Metazoa; Chordata; Mammalia; Dermoptera; Cynocephalidae
Product: small nucleolar RNA SNORA12
Exons: 1
Source: RefSeq, a predicted model, not a curated record